Molecule: ribosomal RNA, 492 nt
Filed under: uncultured bacterium
Lineage: Bacteria
Description: partial 16S ribosomal RNA
Rfam family: Bacterial small subunit ribosomal RNA
Source: RNAcentral
AGUGAACGCUGGCGGUAGGCCUAACACAUGCAAGUCGAACGGCAGCACAGUAAGAGCUUGCUCUUACGGGUGGCGAGUGGCGGACGGGUGAGGAAUACAUCGGAAUCUACUUUUUCGUGGGGGAUAACGUAGGGAAGCUUACGCUAAUACCGCAUACGACCUACGGGUGAAAGCAGGGGAUCUUCGGACCUUGCGCGAUUGAAUGAGCCGAUGUCGGAUUAGCUAGUUGGCGGGGUAAAGGCCCACCAAGGCGACGAUCCGUAGCUGGUCUGAGAGGAUGAUCAGCCACACUGGAACUGAGACACGGUCCAGACUCCUACGGGAGGCAGCAGUGGGGAAUAUUGGACAAAGGGCGCAAGCCUGAUCCAGCCAUACCGCGUGGGUGAAGAAGGCCUUCGGGUUGUAAAGCCCUUUUGUUGGGAAAGAAAAGCAGCAGGUUAAUACCCCGCUGUUCUGACGGUACCCAAAGAAUAAGCACUGGCUAACUUCGUG